UGUUGUGUUUUCAUUUACAAAUGAAACUAUGUGAAUGAUUAAUUCAUCAACGAAAAAAUAGAGUGUUUAUCAAAAAUUGUAUAGUAUUAUCCUGUGUUUUUUCCCUUCUCNCAUAUAGUCAAAACUUUAUUGCCAUAAUUGUCAGAUAAAUGAUAAUGAGCUGUUGUGUUUUCAUUUACAAAUGAAACUACGUGAAGGAUUAAUUCCUCAACGAAACAAUAUAGUAUUUAUCAAAAAUUGUAUAGUAUUAUCCUGUGUUUUUUCCCUUCUCCCAAAACAGCUUAUAAUAGGCUACUGUUUUAGCUAUUAAAAUAGUUCAGUUUUGUAUGUAAUGGCAAAGUGAUUAUAUUUCGUUUUUUUUUUUUUUUUAUAAUUCGUUUUCUUUUUUUUUAAGUUAAUUUAGAAAAAACGUUUGGAGCAUUUAUUGUUCGUUAAAUAUAAGUUUUUGUACUAGUUACUAGUUUAUUGGUAAAUAAUUAAAAUAUCUCCUUAAUAUUUCCCCCUGACACAUUCAUGGUUAUUACUAUUGCUGGGGCUUUCCGGCAAGCUUGAGCCGCUCUUGACAGUCGCAGUAGCACGGUCUUGUGUUGUUUCCACCAGCACUGCAUUUUUUUUCAACACUAAUUGAUGGAUGUCUAAAAUAUAAAAAUAAGGAAAAGCCUAAAACAGGCCCGAGGCCCGGACCGCGUCUGAACUAUGAUGUGAAAAUAUGCCCGAAGCACGGCCCUAGAUGUGUAAAAAAGUCGGGCCGGCCUGAAAUGCAGGUUUAACUAUUACUUACUAUUAGAAAAGUAGUUAAUAUCUUUAACUGACACAUAUGUAGUAGUGGUAGGCUACUACAUAUGUGUACUAUAUAUAUUAGUGCAAAUGGAAUGUCAGGAUUCAGGAGUACCAGAUAAAAUGAUACAUACUUGUGUUCGGUUCACAGACAUACAUUCACAGUUUCAUACAUUUAUCUUGUCCAUCAAAGAAGACUUUAAUAAAAUAGCUAAGAAAGAUGACAAGUGACACUGCAUUGACUCCCCUUUUAAAUUGCUAAUUUAACACUUUACAUUUUUUUUUUAUAUAAUCAGGUUUCACUUAGAAAACUACUAAUCCGGUCAACAAUAAGUUUA
Molecule: long non-coding RNA, 1115 nt
Organism: Cyprinus carpio (common carp)
Lineage: Eukaryota; Metazoa; Chordata; Actinopteri; Cypriniformes; Cyprinidae
Source: Ensembl